RNAcentral lists this ribosomal RNA (462 nucleotides) under uncultured bacterium. RNAcentral's name for it is "bacterial SSU rRNA". It matches the Rfam family "Bacterial small subunit ribosomal RNA", at positions 58 to 521 of the family's 1533-position model. The record is from RNAcentral.
CAAGUCGGACGAGAAGUGGGGGCAACCCUGCGAGUACAGUGGCAGACGGGUGAGUAACACGUGAACAACCUACCCUUGAGUGGGGAAUAACACCGCGAAAGCGGUGCUAAUACCGCAUAAAAUCUUUUAUUCGCAUGGAUGAGAGAUCAAAAGCGAGAGUUGCUUGAGGAGGGGUUCGCGGCUGAUUAGCUAGUUGGUGAGGUAACGGCCCACCAAGGCAACGAUCAGUAGCUGGCCUGAGAGGGCGAACGGCCACACUGGAACUGAGACACGGUCCAGACUCCUACGGGAGGCAGCAGUGGGGAAUUUUGCGCAAUGGGCGAAAGCCUGACGCAGCAACGCCGCGUGGAGGAUGAAGGCCUUCGGGUCGUAAACUCCUGUCUAUGGGGACGAAAGCCUAGCAAUAGGAUUGACUGUACCCGUUGAGGAAGCCACGGCUAACUCCGUGCCAGCAGCCGCGGU